ACACUGGCACUGAAACACGGGCCAGACUCCUACGGGAGGCAGCAGUGGGGAAUCUUGCACAAUGGGGGAAACCCUGAUGCAGCGACGCCGCGUGAGCGAUGAAGCCCUUCGGGGUGUAAAGCUCUUUCGGCAGGGAAGAUAGUGACGGUACCUGCAGAAGCAGCUGCGGCUAACUACGUGCCAGCAGCCGCGGUAAUACGUAGGCAGCAAGCGUUGUUCGGAGUUACUGGGCGUAAAGGGUGUGUAGGCGGUUCUUUAAGUUUGGUGUGAAAUCUCCCGGCUUAACCGGGAGGGUGCGCCGAAUACUGAGGGACUAGAGUACGGGAGAGGAAAGUGGAAUUCCUGGUGUAGCGGUGAAAUGCGUAGAUAUCAGGGGGAACACCGGUGGUGUAGACGGCUUUCUGGACCGUAACUGACGCUGAGACACGAAAGCGUGGGCAGCAAACAGGAUUAGAUACCCUGGUAGUCCACGCCCUAAACGAUGCAUAUUUGGUGUGGGCAGUUCAUUCUGUCCGUGCCGGAGCUAACGCGUUAAAUAUGCCGCCUGGGGAGUACAGUCGCAAGGCUGAAACUCAAAGGAAUUGACGGGGGCCCGCACAAGCGGUGGAGCAUGUGGUUCAAUUCGACGCAACGCGAAGAACCUUACCUGGGCUCGAACGGCUUCUCAACGCCGGUGGAAACACUGGUACCCCGCAAGGGGGUGGAGUCGAGGUGCUGCAUGGCUGUCGUCAGCUCGUGUCGUGAGAUGUUGGGUUAAGUCCCGCAACGAGCGCAACCCCUGUCCUGUGUUGCCACCAUUCAGUUGGGAACUCGAAGGAGACCGCCAGCGAUAAGCUGGAGGAAGGUGGGGAUGACGUCAAGUCCUCAUGGCCUUUAUGUCCAGGGCUACACACGUGCUACAAUGGACGGUACAAAGCGCAGCAAACCCGCGAGGGGGAGCCAAUCGCGAAAAACCGUUCUCAGUUCGGAUUGCAGGCUGCAACUCGCCUGCAUGAAGCUGGAAUCGCUAGUAAUGGCAGAUCAGCACGCUGCCGUGAAUACGUUCCCGGGCCUUGUACACACCGCCCGUCACAUCACGAAAGUGGAUUGUACUAGAAGUCUGCAGGCUGACCCGCAAGGGGGGCAGCGGCCCAAGGUAUGAUCCAUGAUUGGGGUGAAGUCGUAACAAGGUAGCCGUAGGAGAACCUGCGGCUG
RNAcentral lists this ribosomal RNA (1194 nucleotides) under metagenome. RNAcentral describes it as "bacterial SSU rRNA". It matches the Rfam family "Bacterial small subunit ribosomal RNA", at positions 310 to 1520 of the family's 1533-position model. The record is from RNAcentral.